This 524-nucleotide ribosomal RNA is filed under the name uncultured bacterium. RNAcentral describes it as "partial 16S ribosomal RNA". It matches the Rfam family "Bacterial small subunit ribosomal RNA", at positions 28 to 523 of the family's 1533-position model. The record is from RNAcentral.
GACGAACGCUGGCGGCGUGCCUAAUACAUGCAAGUCGAACGCCUCUUUUUCCACCGGAGCUUGCUCCACCGGAAAAAGAGGAGUGGCGAACGGGUGAGUAACACGUGGGUAACCUGCCCAUCAGAAGGGGAUAACACUUGGAAACAGGUGCUAAUACCGUAUAACAAUCAAAACCGCAUGGUUUUGAUUUGAAAGGCGCUUUCGGGUGUCGCUGAUGGAUGGACCCGCGGUGCAUUAGCUAGUUGGUGAGGUAACGGCUGACCAGGGCCACGAUGCAUAGCCGACCUGAGGGGGUGGUCGGCCACAUUGGGACUGAGACACGGCCCAAACUCCUACGGGAGGCAGCAGUAGGGAAUCUUCGGCAAUGGACGAAAGUCUGACCGAGCAACGCCGCGUGAGUGAAGAAGGUUUUCGGAUCGUAAAACUCUGUUGUUAGAGAAGAACAAGGAUGAGAGUAACUGUUCAUCCCUUGACGGUAUCUAACCAGAAAGCCACGGCUAACUACGUGCCAGCCGCCGCAGUAA